This 497-nucleotide ribosomal RNA is filed under the name uncultured bacterium. Its description in RNAcentral is "partial 16S ribosomal RNA". It matches the Rfam family "Bacterial small subunit ribosomal RNA", at positions 28 to 507 of the family's 1533-position model. The record is from RNAcentral.
GAUGAACGCUGGCGGCGUGCCUAAUACAUGCAAGUCGAGCGAACAGACGAGGAGCUUGCUCCUCUGACGUUAGCGGCGGGCGGGUGAGUAACACGUGGAUAACCUACCUAUAAGACUGGGAUAACUUCGGGAAACCGGAGCUAAUACCGGAUAAUAUAUUGAACCGCAUGGUUCAAUAGUGAAAGACGGUUUUGCUGUCACUUAUAGAUGGAUCCGCGCCGCAUUAGCUAGUUGGCAAGGUAACGGCUUACCAAGGCGACGAUGCGUAGCCGACCUGAGAGGGUGAUCGGCCACACUGGAACUGAGACACGGUCCAGACUCCUACGGGAGGCAGCAGUAGGGAAUCUUCCGCAAUGGGCGAAAGCCUGACGGAGCAACGCCGCGUGAGUGAUGAAGGUCUUCGGAUCGUAAAACUCUGUUAUUAGGGAAGAACAAAUGUGUAAGUAACUAUGCACGUCUUGACGGUACCUAAUCAGAAAGCCACGGCUAACUACGUG